CGGCAGCACAGAAACCUGUCAGACGGCAUCCUGUCUCCUAGUUAUUAAAAACUCUGCUUUGCCCAGGCGAGUUCUCAAAUCCCUAUGCAGUCUGGAUCUUUGGCAUGCGGGAGGCAAAGUGCCGAGAUCCAUAUACCACCAUACGGGCUGCUACUCAUGAGCCUUUGCUCUAAAAGCUGAAAAUCUCCUGGCAGUCAUGCAAGCAAGAUGGUCAACGUCAGAUACACAAGGCUGGCUUGAGCAGUGUUCACUGGGGAAAAUUCAUGGACAGGGGAGCAGAAACAGAUGCUGAGAUCAUCUGGAGCUGGUUUGCAGAAAGAAAUGCCUCCCAGUUUAUCCUUCAG
This 344-nucleotide long non-coding RNA is filed under the name Homo sapiens (human). RNAcentral's name for it is "HSALNT0055273". The record is from RNAcentral. Lineage: Eukaryota; Metazoa; Chordata; Mammalia; Primates; Hominidae.